CCCUUAGAUGUUCUGGGCCGCACGCGCGCUACACUGACGCUGUCAGAGAGUGUCUCCUUCACCGAGAGGUGUGGGUAAUCUUUUAAACAUCGUCGUGCUGGGGAUAGAUCAUUGCAAUUUUUGAUCUUAAACGAGGAAUUCCUAGUAAGCGCGAGUCAUCAGCUCGCGCUGAUUACGUCCCUGCCCUUUGUACACACCGCCCGUCGCUACUCCCGAUUGAAUGGUUUAGUGAGGCCUUCUGACUGGCGCCGCUACUCUGGCAACAGAGCGGCGGAUGCCGGGAAGUUGGUCAAACUUGAUCAUUUAGAGGAAGUAAAAGUCGUAACA
Molecule: ribosomal RNA, 327 nt
Filed under: uncultured eukaryote
Lineage: Eukaryota
Description: partial 18S ribosomal RNA
Rfam family: Eukaryotic small subunit ribosomal RNA
Source: RNAcentral